This 494-nucleotide ribosomal RNA is filed under the name uncultured bacterium. Its description in RNAcentral is "partial 16S ribosomal RNA". It matches the Rfam family "Bacterial small subunit ribosomal RNA", at positions 28 to 507 of the family's 1533-position model. The record is from RNAcentral.
GACGAACGCUGGCGGCGUGCUUAACACAUGCAAGUCGAACGGUGAAGCGCCUUCCUUUUUGGUGGGUGUGGAUGAGUGGCGAACGGGUGAGUAACACGUGAGUAACCUGCCCCCUUCUUCUGGAUAACCGCAUGAAAGUGUGGCUAAUACGGGAUAUUCUGGGUCUGUCGCAUGAUGGGUCUGGGAAAGAUAUUGUUUCGGUGGGGGAUGGGCUCGCGGCCUAUCAGCUUGUUGGUGGGGUGAUGGCCUACCAAGGCGGUGACGGGUAGCCGGCCUGAGAGGGUGGACGGUCACACUGGGACUGGGACCCGGCCCAGACUCCUACGGGGGGCAGCAGUGGGGAAUAUUGGACAAUGGGGGGAAGGCUGAUGCAGCGGCGCCGCGUGAGGGAUGGAGGCCUUCGGGUUGUGAACCUCUUUCGCCAGUGAAGCAGGCCUGCCUCGUUUGUGGGUGGGUUGACGGUAGCUGGAUAAGAAGCGCCGGCUAACUACGUG